UGCUGCUCAUUUUUCUUCCACUAUUUUGCUCUUAUGGGUUUCUCAUUCUUCAACGCUUCAGGUUUCUCAGUCCGUUCAUAUCUUCCGCUACCUUUUACUUCCCCCUUAACCUAGCAGCGCCGUUGCUCACAUGAGAGAGAUUUGAACUCUACGAUCUGGGGUGGUUCCCCGUGGUGACCUGAGGCCAAGCUCCUUCACAACCUGAGAUGGAUCCUUCUGCAAAGCGAUUCAAACCACGGAGGUUGCAGGGUAUGGUGAGAGGAACACACAGAGGCUGGGAGCUCUGAUCUUCAAUCCUGUCCAUUUUGUUCGUGCUUUGAGUAGAAGGGGAUGCUGCCUUCAAAUAUCAAAGAAACAUCCAAAGAAUCAAGGCGCAGAGAUGUGAGCAUUUCCUAUAUACAUGUGUGUGUUCCCCCUUUGCUAUUGUAGAAUUCUGGGCGUAUGGGAUCCAGGUAAGCACUACUCCUAACAGAAUUAUUAAUUUCAUGUAAAUGUUCCAUAUAAAUUUGAUAAAUGAUAACAAGGUGUUAUUUACAUAUGCAUACCCCUGUGUCAUGUGGUUAGCAAUCAGGCCAACACUCUUGGAAUGAUUUUGUGUUUUUACAGUUGAGUUUUUUAUUUGAGUUUUUAGUUUUUUUCUUUUUUUUUUAUAAUUUUGGACAUGAGAAAGUUAGGGUCUGUGGCUAAGUUGUGUUACAUUGCAUCUUGAUGUUCAUUCGAGAGAACUGGUGAAGGGGCAGGGGCUUAGUGAGCGUGGGGAAAUUAUUCUCUUCUAUAAGGCUGAACCUAAAACAGAUGAAGUAUAUGAUCAGACAACUUUGCUUCCUGAAGCAGAUGUGAGUGUGCUCUGACUUCUGCCAUUGGAUUGAUUGGCACAUCGAUUGAGGAACUACACCCGAGAGCUAAGAAUCAGAGUAAAAGAGUCCUACUGCUAACCUUAUUUUAAAAUCUUUUAUAAUCUUAUUUCAGUUUGAAGCAUCAUUUACUAAUUAUAGAACUUGAUCCACAUUGUCAAUUUCCCUCCCAGACAGAGAUUGUGGUAUCGCAUCAUAAAGUUUGUUCUUUUCUCACUAGCUUUUCUUCUUUGCAAAUAUUGUUUCUGCAACCACAACUUUUCUUUUUGCAGAUAUUAUGUCUGCAAUUGAUCUCAUCCCUUUGUUGCUUCAAUAUUCUAUAAAUGCUUCUCCUGGAUGUUCCCGGUUGCAUUGUUUUGGAUUCUCUUUGAUUCUACAUGCUUGGAUGAUCAAGUAGCCAAUUAAGUGUGAUUCAAGUGUAUCAUCUUAUCCGAACUAAAGGCAGAUGUUCUCAGGAACGAAAAAAGUAGGAGUAACGAAGAAGAUAAAUGAGAAUGUAUAUGAGAAUUCUUCCUGAAUGUACAAGUUGUUGCAUUGUUGUCUCCCACCAAGAAUUAUGUGAGCAGAGAGAGAAGGCUGGGACAGAAAAAUGCUAAAAUGAGUUAUUUUAGAUUGCAAGAACGUCAAUCUUUCCAGAACAAGAAAGUAAAGUUCUCAGCCAGCAGAGGCAGCAUCAAAGUGAAGGACAAGAAAGUAGUGGACAGAAAGAUUCAUAUGCUAAUCAACCUCUGAUCAAUUGUAUCAAGUGAAAUUCAUUUAGAAACUGUACAGGUUAUUGUUGUUGAUUCUCAAGAGGAUGAUAGUACGGAUAAUUGAAGCGCAUAAGCUUUGUUGAGUUCAACACUACAGGUUUUGGUUAAAAUCUGAUGGCUAGAAUGGUAUAUGUGGAGGGAGAAGGGUUAUGGAAAAAUUGUCAAGGCAUGGCACUGCCCAUUAAGGUUAUCCAAAGGCCUAAGUCACUUGAUUUAGGAGUGCAAUUCUCUUGCAGCCCUGAUGAGCCAGCCACUGAGGGAGCUGUGAUCAAGUCUUCAAGAAUUGGUGCUUUGGAAAACAUACCAAAGAAUUUGGAUCAAAGAUGAUGGCUAAGACAGUAGGUAGAGAAUCAUAAUGUAAUUACACCAUUGAGUGUUGUUAGGCUACCGAAGUCAUGACUCAUGAGGACUAGGCUCCAAAAGUUAAUUUAGAUUUCUUUGUUUUUGCUCCUUUCUAAUUGUAUAUUGGCCUAAGAUUAUGAUUCACCUUUGUAGUUUAGCUUUAGCACGCAUUUUCUAACAAUGGAAUUCACUAUGUUAAAAUGUUA
Long non-coding RNA from Lotus japonicus, 2154 nucleotides. RefSeq lists it as uncharacterized. The transcript has 6 exons. The record is from RefSeq and is a predicted model, not a curated record. Lineage: Eukaryota; Viridiplantae; Streptophyta; Magnoliopsida; Fabales; Fabaceae.